CCAUCGAAAAUAUCGAUGUAGAAAACUUCGAUACUUGAUAUAUCGCCAUCACUAUACCAUUAAUUCCCCAUCACUUGAAUUAAAAGCGUGGGAUAAGACUGUCAGGAUUUUGGUGUUGGUAGUGUUGUAGAGAAAUGGAUAAGUUUUUAAACAGCAAGGACAAUGGCGAAGAUUGCGACGCGGAUAAGGAAAAUGGAGAGGCUUGUCUCAAGCCGCAGCAAGUAGAUAUGCUGCUCUUCAUAAACAAAAAUGAUUGGACGAAGUAAAUGAUCUUAUUAAAUAAUAUAAUCUUUGUUA
Molecule: long non-coding RNA, 297 nt
Organism: Drosophila mojavensis
Lineage: Eukaryota; Metazoa; Arthropoda; Insecta; Diptera; Drosophilidae
Exons: 3
Source: RefSeq, a predicted model, not a curated record